This 392-nucleotide transfer RNA is filed under the name bacterium HTCC7217. RNAcentral describes it as "partial 16S-23S ribosomal RNA intergenic spacer". The stretch from base 101 to 174 matches the Rfam family "tRNA". The record is from RNAcentral.
UCUAAGGAUGAAUGAAAGUAAAAUUUUAUUCUAAAUAAUAUACAUCGGUAAUGUUGACCGUCCUCAUUUCUCUUCUUAAAGUAGUGUUUCUCUUGCAUGGGGGCCGGUAGCUCAGUUGGUUAGAGCACACCCUUGAUAAGGGUGGGGUCGAAAGUUCGAGUCUUUCUCGGCCCACCAAUAUAAGAUCAUGGGGGAUUAGCUCAGCUGGGAGAGCGCCUGAUUUGCAUUCAGGAGGUCAGCGGUUCGAUCCCGCUAUCCUCCACCAAAAACACUUAGUUAUAAAAAUUGUAAAUAAAAAUAAUAAUUAAUAUCAAUAUCUAUAUCCGAACAUUAGUAAUGUUAUUAGCUAAUGUUCAAAAUAAAAAUUUGAUUCAACACAGAAUUUUUUUCUG